Sinocyclocheilus anshuiensis is the source of this 699-nucleotide long non-coding RNA. RefSeq lists it as uncharacterized. NCBI's taxonomy places the organism in Eukaryota, Metazoa, Chordata, Actinopteri, Cypriniformes, Cyprinidae. The record is from RefSeq and is a predicted model, not a curated record. The transcript has 3 exons.
AUGGCUGCUUAAGCACUGCGUGGUGACUCCUUCAACGUGUGUUUAUGCUCUGCGGGCAGUAAUAGUCUUUUUCGCCGUCUAUCCCCUUUUUGCUCUUUCCUGGAGUGUGUGUGAGUGGAGUGGCGAACGCAAUUCGCAUAAAGUCUGCUGUAGUUUAAGAAUUUCAUAUAGGAGGUGCGGCCUGAGAGUGCUAGCUGCUGUUUCAUAUACCCGUUUUAUACACUGCUGUUUCAUCGCUCGGUUUAUGUGGCUGAUUCCGACGGCUGUGGAUGCCGUUGUUUUGAACUGUGAUUUGCCGGGUGCUUUCUAAGACUAAUCUGUCCUGUUAAUUCGUAUGAUAUAUUUAUGCAGACGUAUUUGACAUCCUCGUUUUUAGUGUUACUGUAUUAAAUUAAUUGCUGUACCUGUGUAUUGAAGCAGUCUGGACGGUUUUAAAAUAAUAUUAGUGACAAUGUAAUUUUGCUUAAGUGUUUGUACCUGUUUAUUUUAUUUUAUUUUUUUCUUUGUUUCUUUGGUUCUCUCUGAAAUACCAAACCUUUAUUUGCCAGUGUAUUUACCUACUUGUGAAUGUUUGAUGACCUGUGAUUUUGAAGCUUAACAGCAGGAGAGUGCUCACUUUUUGUUGUGGUAUUGUGCGUUUUUUUGGAUUGUCACUGGCUUUAAGAAUUUCCAUUCACUGAUUGCUGUGUGAUUUUUCUC